CAAACGAAGAGAAUUCAUUAAAAAACAUUUUAAAUUUUAUUUUAUUAAUAUAAAAAUCACUUAAAAAUAUUCGUUCGGUAUACCAGGUCAUUUACCCACAAAUUAUUGCAAAAGUACUUUGUCGACAGAACGAUGGUUUGGAAAAAACCGGAAAUUCUGCUGACAAAGAAAAUUAACACUAGGGUACGACGAACGAAAUUUGGCAGAGUUACGACCGGGUCUCGGCAAGAAGAGGUAACCGAAAGCAGUGCGGAAAAGCUUUGUGAAAUGUUUGCUCCAAGAAUAAUAAUAAUGUAAGUACAACAUUUUAUCAUAUCGAAGAAGAUCACAAUUAUUGUCACUUUAUUAAGUUACGUAACAUUACUUUCACUUUAAUUAUAGAAUUCGCUACAUAUUCCCAUGUACUUAAAUUAUUAAUCCUGUUAUGUAGAUCUUAGUUUAUCUCUUGUCAAAUUAGCUCUUUUAUUUGGGUAACUCUACUUAAAUCGUUAUAAUUAUAUUUUGCUGUCAAUACAAGGUAUUUAGUAAACUA
Molecule: long non-coding RNA, 532 nt
Organism: Anthonomus grandis grandis
Lineage: Eukaryota; Metazoa; Arthropoda; Insecta; Coleoptera; Curculionidae
Exons: 2
Source: RefSeq, a predicted model, not a curated record